AUGCUUUCUUCAGCAGCACAUAUACUGAAAUUGGAAUGAUACAGAGAAGAUUAGUGUAGCUCCUGCACAAUGAUGAUACGCAAAUUUGUGAAGCGUUCAAAUUUUUU
Molecule: small nuclear RNA, 107 nt
Filed under: Neotoma lepida (desert woodrat)
Lineage: Eukaryota; Metazoa; Chordata; Mammalia; Rodentia; Cricetidae
Source: RNAcentral